Panicum virgatum (switchgrass) is the source of this 4193-nucleotide long non-coding RNA. RefSeq lists it as uncharacterized. The record is from RefSeq and is a predicted model, not a curated record. The transcript has 3 exons. Lineage: Eukaryota; Viridiplantae; Streptophyta; Magnoliopsida; Poales; Poaceae.
UUAUUUUCAUUACACAUGUCUCAAAUUACAUAAAGGUGGCUUGUAUUUAUCAUUCUGGCCAAAGCUGAUUGACAAAUACUUGUUCACAAAAUUUUAUUGUUCUUGUCCAUUUCUGGCCAAAGCUGAUAUGGACUAGAUCAAUAAAAGAUGUACAUAGAGACAUGUAAUUUUAAUUAAGUAUGGCUUAUAUUUGUCAUUCUGGCCAAAGCUGAUUGAUGAAUAUCUGACCACAAAAUUUUGCUGCUCUUGUCCAUUUCUGGCCAAAGCUGAUGUGGACUAGAUCAGUAAAAGAAGAUUAAAGUCAAAUAAAGUGUGACUUAUAUUUGUUAUUCUGGCCAAAGCUGAUUAAUGAAUACUUGUUCACAGAAUUUUAUUGUUUCUAUCUACUUCUGGCCAAAGCUGAUGUGGAUUGGAUCAAUAAAAGAAGUUAAUGAUCUGGGAAAAUCUUAAUACAUGAAUGGCUUAUGGAUCCUUUCUUAUAUAUAUAAGGCCACAAGAAUAAUUGAUGUAUUAUUGAGGAAUUAUGCUAAAAGCAAAAGGUUCGAGUAAACACAAGAGAAUAUUAACAACUAAUGUUUACGCUUCCGCAAAUAAAUGCUUCUGAUUAAAGUGUUCUUGAGACUUGAUAAAUUUUAUGAUUAUAUAUGUGACUUAUGACUAUAUUAUGACCAAAGCUGUUUAUAGCCAUGUGUCAUUAUUUAAUUCCCAGAUCAAUUAAGUUUCCAAGUCUCAAGCAUGAUCAAAGUUGAUUAUAUUGAUAUAACAUUCCCUGAGUAUUAAUAUUUGCAUAAGAAAUUUUAUGCCUAUAAUAAUAAGAUGAAGAAUAAUUAAUAUUUAUUUUAUGUUAAGCUCUACUUUGUUUUAGCCCAAAGGUGAUGCAAGGUAGAAUGAUUAAAUAUUGUCAAAAUUAUCAAUUAAAGUAUCCCUAUUGAUGAUAUUUUGAAUUUAGCCAUAAUUUUCUUGGCUGUUUUAAGUACCCUCAAUAAGAAAUAGACUAAAUACAUAAGAAUACAUUGUUCAUGAGGUCAUUAAUUAUGAUUGCAUGGAUAAACACAAUAAGCUCCUAUUAGAGAAGCCUUGCUAAUUAAGAAAUUGAUAAGAAAUCUAAUGGAUUUCUUGUCUAUUAAUAUCUAAUGGGAGCAAUCUAAAGAAAUCUAUCUUAUGAUCAAUGCCAGUAAAGAUCUGGGGGAGUAAAUCCCUUGGUACAAUUAUGUUGUAAUUUCUCUGGCAAUAAUGGAGAAGUAAUUCUCAAAGCCUAAAGAUCAUAAGAAUAAAGGUAAGAAAUAAAGGGUCAUUGGAACCUUUUGAGUUCAUUUUAUCAUGUUGCCAAUCAUAAAGCAUUAUGAUUGAAGCUCAAAUAAAUUUAUGCUCAUAAAAAAUUAUGAGUAUGAUGAUAUUUUGACCUCAUGAAUAUGAAAGUUUUAAGAUAAAGCCCUCAAGUGUUAAAAGUGGAUAGGAGGUUAAUGUUAAGCUAUUGGAAAUCUUUUCCAUUAGUAUAAAGUUUUCGUAUCCUUCAUCCCAAUAAUGAGAAAUAUUUGUUAUGAAAGUUCAUCGAAAUAUGACUCUAUCGCUUAGUCCAUAUUUCGAGGGGGAGAGUUGAACUUCCCACUAAGAAUAAAAGAAGGAAAUACUUUAUCAGGUAUGUCUAUAUUUCAUUUCUUUAAGUAAUUCCUUUACAUAAUUAUAUUAUGAAAGAUAUUAAAAUUUAAGAUACUUAUGUAUAUGUGGGGUUUUUGUAUUAGUAUCUUGAUUUUGUUACUUAGCUUCCAUUAUAUUUUAGAAGGAAUAUAGUUAUUAAUAUUGUUAAAAAUAAUUCAUUGAAUCUAAAGUUUUAGUUAAUGACAUUAAGGGUUAUUAAGAAUGAAUGUUUGUUUUAAGACAAAAGUGAUUAAAGUAUAAUUAGACCUAUCUUUUAAUGCUAAUGGCCUAAGUUAGUCAUCUUUUAAUAAUAAGCCCCACAUAAUUGCCUCCUAACUGAGAUAUAAGUUUUAAGAAUCUUUUUCAUCUCAUGGAAUGGAAGUUUGUAAGUUUCUAACACUUAUGUUAAGUUUUCUUCUAAUGGAGACAAUGCCUAAAUAUGAUUAUGAAAUGAAAUAAUGAAAGAUACAAUUUUAUGUUCAUUAGAUAAGGUUCAUGUAAAAUAAAGAAUUAAUUAUUAUGAUAAAAUAUAUUAAAGAAAAGAAGUGCUUAUUAUUGCACAUUACUUUGAGGGUAUAAUCAUUUAGAAUGAUGAAAUAAAGUUCAAUAAGAAAUUUUGGAUUAAGUCAAUGUCUUGUUGACAAUAAGCAAUAGGGAUAUUGUAUAUUAUAAGGAAUGAGUUUUAUCCUCAGGGAAUUAAGUUUAUUCUUGGUGAUGUUCCUUAUGUUCUUUGAGAAUUAAGAUUCGCCAAGAUUGGUUCAGAAAAUGGGAGUAUUAAAUAUUACCCCCAAAAUUAUGAUUGCUCCCAUUAAAGGCAAUAAGUUUUCUUAUGUUGUGGCAGACAUAAGUGAUGUAUAUACCUAAAGUUAUGAUAUGCCCUUAAAAUUUUGAAGACUGGAAUAUCUGGCAAACAUAAGUCCAGGACUGGACUCCUGAAAAAUUGUUCAAAACAUAUUGUCUUGUCGGCAUAAGUGCUAAAGUAAUUUGUGUGCCAUAAAUAUGGCACUAAGGGAUUAUAUGCUCACUUUUAAGAAAGUCUGGUAACCAUCAAGUUAUGAGAGGUUCGGACAAUAAUAUUUCUUAGCAAAGGCGCAUUAAUGUCCACAAAAGUUGCACCCUUUGUGUGGGAGCCAUAUUGUGGAAUGGUUUCACCCAAUUCAAGAUAUGAUUAAAGAUGCAGAUUAAGUCGUGGCAUGUUUAAUCCCAAAAGGUUUUGAUAUGGGUUUAUGUCCCUAACCCAUAUUAUUUUAAGAGAAUAAGAAAUUUCUUAAAAAAUUUAUCCCGGAACUUAUUAUGUAAAGAGUGCAGUUCCACUCGAGUAACAUGUCAAAGGGUAUUGCCAGGCCCAAGACAUUGUGAAAGAAUUAUUCCAGAAUCAAACAUUACAUGUUUCAAGGCCUUAAUGAUGUAUUAAUAUUUUAAGUUUUAGUGCUCAACAAAUAAGUAUUGAAGACAUAAGUGUUGAGCAUUUUAUAAGACUAAUGUUGAUGCUCAGUAAAUGUAAGAGGUAAGUACUAAGAUAUAAGUGCUGAGUAUCAUAAUUUAAGAAGCUUGCCUUGCAAAAAUUGCUGGCAUAAAAAAACUAAUUGGCAGCCUAUUAUUUAGGGACAAAAUUAUGAUUCUGGAAAUAUAUUUGAUUUUCAAUUUUGAAGUGCGCACAUAAAGUUCAUAAGAAUAUAUGAAUGUAUAUGAAAAAUAAACUGCACUCUGGGACUAAUUCUAGCACCGUCUCCCCAUGAGCCUAAGAGGAAUCAUUUUGAUUUUGAACGGGAAUCAUGGUCACUUAGUCCUGUGGUACUUAAUUUACUGCAGUGAUUGAUUGAUCUGGUGUACCGUCUUUUGAGAAAUGAAUCCAUAAGUUUUGUAUAACGAUAAAGAGUAAGUUUUGGAGCUCCUAAGUUAAAGAAGUUCAUUUGAUAUGAGGUGGCAUGCUAUAGUAACUGGGUUCAAUGGUACGUAUAAUUGACCAUUGUAAUCCUUUUAUCUUGGUAUGUCAUUUUGUUGAAAAAUGGACUUAUAAGUUUAAGCCUUACGAUCAAGGGGGAGAAUGUUAGGAUUGUGAUGAUCUGUAAAGCUUAAACAGUAAGCUUAACAGUGAAUGUACAGUAAAAUAAAGAAUUAAGAAUUGAAAAACAUAAUGGAACGGGGUGGAAACACCCCGAACCGUCCUGAUCGGGGACGGGAACCGACCCAACUAUGUCGGUCCCCCCCGGUGAGCAACGACUAUAAAAGAAAGGGGUGAGACCCCGUUAGGGCAUCCGAUCGGCAGACGUUGUCAUCACCGGGGUAGUCACCGACACACAUACACAACCCAUACAUACACAGAGGCCAGAACAAGUACAAGAAAAGGGAGAAGAUGGGAGGUCCUAAUGACCAAGGUUUCUCGUCAGGAAACACAGGAACAGUCGCCAUGGCCAUUGUACAGAUUCCAAUGAUCGGAUUAGGGGUGCUUUUGAUGGACAAGGUUGGAAGGAGGCCACUUUUGAUGGUAAAAUAAUUAUACUUGGAACUUGAAAGUCAGUAAUGAAUUAUGACCACAGUAAUAUUUAUGCUGC